Molecule: ribosomal RNA, 253 nt
Filed under: uncultured bacterium
Lineage: Bacteria
Description: partial 16S ribosomal RNA
Rfam family: Bacterial small subunit ribosomal RNA
Source: RNAcentral
GACGGACCACCCGAACGUUAUUCGGAAUCACUGGGCUUAAAGGGUGCGUAGGCGGCGUAGUAAGUCGGGUGUGAAAUCCCCCAGCUUAACUGGGGAAUUGCGCCCGAAACUGUUGCGCUCGAGGGAGACAGAGGUGAGCGGAACUGAUGGUGGAGCGGUGAAAUGCGUUGAUAUCAUCAGGAACACCGGUGGCGAAAGCGGCUCACUGGGUCUCUUCUGACGCUCAGGCACGAAAGCUAGGGGAGCAAACGGG